GCCUAGCCCAGAUAGAAGUGGAAAUCCUUUUAUUUUUUUCUUUAAAAAAUAAAAGAUUGUAACGAAUAGCUGGAAAUUGC
Molecule: small RNA, 80 nt
Filed under: Flavobacterium pectinovorum
Lineage: Bacteria; Pseudomonadati; Bacteroidota; Flavobacteriia; Flavobacteriales; Flavobacteriaceae
Description: Flavo-1 RNA
Rfam family: Flavo-1 RNA
Source: RNAcentral